Glycine max (soybean) is the source of this 114-nucleotide non-coding RNA. The record is from Rfam. NCBI's taxonomy places the organism in Eukaryota, Viridiplantae, Streptophyta, Magnoliopsida, Fabales, Fabaceae.
UAGCCAUUGUGCUAUUGGCUCGGUUCACUCAGACACAAAACAACCAUAUCACAACAUUUGUGGUUUUCGUUUUUGAAUCUUUGAUUGAGUCGUGUCAAUAUCUCACUGCUAUUU